RNAcentral lists this ribosomal RNA (433 nucleotides) under uncultured bacterium. RNAcentral describes it as "partial 16S ribosomal RNA". It matches the Rfam family "Bacterial small subunit ribosomal RNA", at positions 29 to 507 of the family's 1533-position model. The record is from RNAcentral.
AACGAACGCUGGCGGCAUGCCUAACACAUGCAAGUCGAACGAGACCUUCGGGUCUAGUGGCGCACGGGUGCGUAACGCGUGGGAACCUGCCCUUAGGUUCGGAAUAACUCCCCGAAAGGGGUGCUAAUACCGGCUAAUGUCUUCGGACCAAAGAUUUAUCGCCUUUGGAUGGGCCCGCGUUGGAUUAGCUAGUUGUUAGGGUAAAAGCCUAACAAGGCGACGAUCCAUAGCUGGUCUGAGAGGAUGAUCAGCCACACUGGGACUGAGACACGGCCCAGACUCCUACGGGAGGCAGCAGUGGGGAAUAUUGGACAAUGGGCGAAAGCCUGAUCCAGCAAUGCCGCGUGAGUGAUGAAGGCCUUAGGGUUGUAAAGCUCUUUUACCCGGGAUGAUAAUGACAGUACCGGGAGAAUAAGCUCCGGCUAACUCCGUG